Long non-coding RNA from Pseudopipra pipra, 1757 nucleotides. RefSeq lists it as uncharacterized. The transcript is spliced from 5 exons. The record is from RefSeq and is a predicted model, not a curated record. NCBI's taxonomy places the organism in Eukaryota, Metazoa, Chordata, Aves, Passeriformes, Pipridae.
UGGGCACCGACGGGCUCGGAUCGGCCCCCGCGACCCUGCCCUGCCUUGCUUUGCCUUACCCUACCCUGCCUGGCUCGGCUUGGCUCGGCUCCGCUCAGCGCAGCCCGACCUGUCUCGCUCCCGGCCGCCCUGCCCCGGCCGUGCCCGCAUCCUGGAGCGGACGGACGGACGGACGGACAGAUGGCCGGCAUCCCCGACGGAGGGAUGUUUCUGUCUUUGGUUAUCUAGCUGUAUGAGUGUUGUGGAGCCAUCAUAAAGCUAGAUAACCGAAAGUAGAAAUGACUUCCAGACCUGCUCGCCCGGGGGAAGCGGCCGCACCAGGACCGGCGGUGCAGAGACGGCCCGACUCGCCGCCUUGGGGCUCCAGUGGGCAUCCCUUGCCGAGGGAGAAGGUAGCACAGCAGGGCCGAGCCACCCGUGCCCACCGGCGUGCAGGGACGGCGAGAGGUGGGAGCCCCCCCGCACCUCGGAGGCAGGUUUUCCACCUUCACUUGCACGGGGUAAUGGCGUCAGAUGCCACGUAGGCCCGCAAAGCUAAAUAUGCCUGUGCACCCUUCCAGGGCCGGCAAAGCACCGCCAUAACCACAGUAAGGAAAAAGGAUCUCAGCCUGAAUUUGGCUAUACCGGGAGAAAGAAAAGUUCUGAGGAGCUGUUAUUAUAUAUUCUAAUGAGAAGUCAUUGGAGAAAUUAAAAAGGGCAGAGAAAGACGAAGACGCCAGCACUAAUUCCGCAGGAAGCCUCCCAGGGAAAAGGCUGUGUGAGUGUGAACGCUGAAAAGCAUGAAGGCCUGGAAUUAGACUAUCAUUUAGAAAGCGUUACUAAUCCGAAGUUACAGCAGUAAUUCCAUGAUUUGCUGGGUCCCACACGCAGCGCCAGAAUUAAAGAUACGGAUUUUCUAGAAAUGUAACUCAACUGUGGCACCGAGUCUCGGGAAGAUCCGAAUGAAUCAUUCAUUCCAAAGGCAGCGAAAGACGUGUCAUUAAGAACCAUCCUCCUUCUCUCCAGCCCAUCUGGAAUAUGUAUACUCGAUGCAAUCCCAGAAAUUGUGGAAGAGAUUGGAGACAUGACUGAGAGUUCGUGGAGUGGGAUGCCUUGGGAAGGGCUGGGACGUCUCCACCUGAGCAAGGAGAGAUCCCAGCGAGUGGAGAAGGGAUUUUUCAAGCCCGUGAGUUCCUUUGAGCCUGCCCAGACUUGCCACUUGACUUCUCCGAGUUUCUCCAGGAGGGUCCCAACUGCUUCUGCAUUGGCCCCAGAGAGGAGGCAGCUUUGAUUCAUGAGCACAGCGGGUUUCUGCAUCACUUCGAAUCACGCCGGUCCACCCAUGGGGAGGGAGCCAGGGCAACACAAGGGAUCAUCCCACAUCACUCCUGUAUGUUGCCUUCAGUGCCCUCAAUACCCCUGAGCAGGACCAAAGCGCUUAGACAGAGACACCCAAGCCAGUCACUGUAACAACUGGUGAAAUACCGGGUGUACGAAGGUUGGAAGGAGCUUUUCGCUCCCAGCUUUGCUCAUGGAGCAGAGCUUGGCCCUUGCUGCUCUUGAUCCCUGGGUCUGUGGAGCUGUGGGAGCACAGCCUUCCCAAAGGUGCUGUGCUUGUGGACCAGAGGACCGUGAGCCUGUCCAGGCCAGACAGCCCUGCUGCUGUUGUGCUGCACCCUCUCUGUUCCUGUAAGAGAAACGUACUGCCUGUAAUUAUCUCCCAUUCAAAUCCCGCCCCCCCAUGCACUGUUGAAAAUAAACUCUCCCUUUUGCAAAAA